Molecule: ribosomal RNA, 118 nt
Filed under: Lepisosteus oculatus (spotted gar)
Lineage: Eukaryota; Metazoa; Chordata; Actinopteri; Semionotiformes; Lepisosteidae
Source: RNAcentral
ACCAGCAGCCAUAUCACCCUGUGGCUCACAGCUGGCAGUCCACUGAAGCUCAGCAGGUUUGAGCCUCACUAAUAUCUGGAUGGGAGACCUCCUGGGAAAGCUAAGGCUGCUGCUGGAA